GGGGAAUAUUGGACAAUGGGCGCAAGCCUGAUCCAGCCAUGCCGCGUGAGUGAAGAAGGCCUUAGGGUUGUAAAGCUCUUUCACUCGCGAAGAUGAUGACGGUAGCGAGAGAAGAAGCCCCGGCUAACUCCGUGCCAGCAGCCGCGGUAAUACGGAGGGGGCAAGCGUUGUUCGGAUUUACUGGGCGUAAAGGGCGCGUAGGCGGAAAUCUUUGUCAGAGGUGAAAGCCCCGGGCUCAACCUGGGAACUGCCUUUGAUACGGGAUUUCUGGAGUUCGGGAGAGGGUAGCGGAAUUCCCAGUGUAGAGGUGAAAUUCGUAGAUAUUGGGAAGAACACCAGUGGCGAAGGCGGCUACCUGGCCCGAGACUGACGCUGAGGCGCGAAAGCGUGGGGAGCAAAC
RNAcentral lists this ribosomal RNA (400 nucleotides) under uncultured bacterium. RNAcentral describes it as "bacterial SSU rRNA". It matches the Rfam family "Bacterial small subunit ribosomal RNA", at positions 356 to 773 of the family's 1533-position model. The record is from RNAcentral.